CUGGACUAGGAGCUCCUUGGAGCCUGCAUUUCAAUAAUCAUCUUUGUAUUCCAGGUAAAGACAAAAUCCGGGUUCUAUCCCAGUACAAAUCACAGAAGGCACACAUGCUGUGUAACACUUUUUUUUUUGUAAAAUGGGAAAGUACAAUUGAAUUUAAAAAUUAUUUUUAUUUAGAUGUUUUGUAUCUUUACCAUAAAGUGAUUGAUGAUUAGAAGCUGAGGAGAAUUGAUAACACAAGAAGAUAAUGCAUUUCGAAGAGGUUUUGGAAACAAACAGCAACAGAAAAAGAUUCUUCGCUAACUUUUGAGAAAGAAAUGAUCUCAAAAUACCCUUGUGUCUACUGAUAUUUCAAGGUAAGGGAAUGCUCUGGAAUGCUUCCCAUUUUCCAAAUGUAAUAUUUUCCAAAAUAAACUUGGGAGU
RNAcentral lists this long non-coding RNA (420 nucleotides) under Homo sapiens (human). Its description in RNAcentral is "HSALNT0179423". Lineage: Eukaryota; Metazoa; Chordata; Mammalia; Primates; Hominidae. The record is from RNAcentral.